AGAGUUUGAUCCUGGCUCAGAACGAACGCUGGCGGCAGGCCUAACACAUGCAAGUCGAACGAGCUGAGGCCUUCGGGUCUCGAUGCUAGUGGCGCACGGGUGAGUAACGCGUGGGAACGUACCCUUUAGUACGGAAUAACCCAGGGAAACUUGGGCUAAUACCGUAUACGCCCUUCGGGGGAAAGAUUUAUCGCUAAAGGAUCGGCCCGCGUCUGAUUAGGUAGUUGGUGAGGUAACGGCUCACCAAGCCGACGAUCAGUAGCUGGUCUGAGAGGAUGAUCAGCCACACUGGGACUGAGACACGGCCCAGACUCCUACGGGAGGCAGCAGUGGGGAAUAUUGGACAAUGGGCGAAAGCCUGAUCCAGCCAUGCCGCGUGAGUGAAGAAGGCCUUCGGGUUGUAAAGCUCUUUCGGCGGGGACGAUGAUGACGGUACCCGCAUAAGAAGCCCCGGCAAACUUCGUGCCAGCAGCCGCGGUAAUACGAAGGGGGCUAGCGUUGUUCGGAAUUACUGGGCGUAAAGCGCACGUAGGCGGUGUUCUUUGUCAGAGGUGAAAGCCUGGGGCUCAACUCCAGAAUUGCCUUUGAAACGGGAAUGCUUGAGUCCGAGAGAGGAUGGCGGAAUUCCUAGUGUAGAGGUGAAAUUCGUAGAUAUUAGGAAGAACACCAGGCGAAGGCGGCCAUCUGGCUCGGUACUGACGCUCAGGUGCGAAAGCGUGGGGAGCAAACAGGAUUAGAUACCCUAGUAGUCC
Molecule: ribosomal RNA, 752 nt
Filed under: uncultured bacterium
Lineage: Bacteria
Description: bacterial SSU rRNA
Rfam family: Bacterial small subunit ribosomal RNA
Source: RNAcentral